AGCAGCCGCGGUAAUUCCAGCUCCAAUAGCGUAUAUUAAAGUUGUUGCAGUUAAAAAGCUCGUAGUUGAAUUUCGGGAUCAGUUGGUCGGUCGUGCCUCGGUACGUACUGGUCAAAUUGAUUCCUACCUUCUGACGAACCACGAUGUCAUUAAUUUGGUGUCGCGGGAAAUCAGGACUGUUACUUUGAAAAAAUUAGAGUGUUUAUAGCAGGCUCGCGCUUGAAUACAUUAGCAUGGAAUAAUGAAAUAGGACGUUUGAUUCUAUUUUGUUGGUUUCUAGGAUCGACGUAAUGAUUAAUAGGGAUAGUUGGGGGCAUUAGUAUUCAAUUGUCAGAGGUGAAAUUCUUGGAUUUAUUGAAGACUAACUACUGCGAAAGCAUUUGCCAAGGAUGUUUUCAUUAAUCAAGAACGAAAGUUAGGGGAUCGAAGACGAUCAGAUACCGUCGUAGUCUUAACCAUAAACUAUGCCGACUAGGGAUCGGAUGAUGUUAAUUUUUUAAUGACUCAUUCGGCGCCUUAC
Molecule: unclassified non-coding RNA, 520 nt
Filed under: uncultured Glomus
Lineage: Eukaryota; Fungi; Glomeromycota; Glomeromycetes; Glomerales; Glomeraceae
Also listed under: 1 other name
Description: SSU rRNA
Rfam family: Eukaryotic small subunit ribosomal RNA
Source: RNAcentral